Molecule: long non-coding RNA, 1252 nt
Organism: Megalobrama amblycephala (Wuchang bream)
Lineage: Eukaryota; Metazoa; Chordata; Actinopteri; Cypriniformes; Xenocyprididae
Exons: 3
Source: RefSeq, a predicted model, not a curated record
AACACUGGACAAACUUUCUAUGUGUUGUAUUAUACUCCUCAACUGCCUUCUAAAUGACAUCAGUUGUUGUGUUUUUUUUUGUCUCCAUUGUCCAACAGCGAGAUAUUUUUGGGUCUUCCUGUCUUUCUAAGGUAGCAGCCACCCUGAGGCUCGGCUGGCCGUAUGAAUCAUAACUUUUCCAUGACAUAUAAAGGGGAAACAGACACAAGCCAACAUCCAAACAGCUUUUCCUUUGUUCAGAGAACUGAAUAUAUUUAACCUCUCAGAUGAAGCUGUUAAAAGUCAUAGAAAACAUUCACACAAGCUGCCUUUCCACAGCUUUAUACAUCUCAGAUGCUUGUAGACAUUGAAAAGAACAGAGAAGCUGUGCAUAUGACACAUAUUAAUGAAACAGAUUAAUCUGCAGUUUUAUGAGGAAAUCACUUUUGACUGUUACUGUCAUAUCAUUCAGAUGUCUCAUUGUGGACAGACCGCAUACAUGGCACAAUCUUAUGCUUGUCAUGAGUCACAUGGACCUCUGAAUAAUGGUUUCACUGUAAUGUGCGACAGUACACUGGACUAUCAGUCCAUGCUUUGGUGAUGAAGGGCAAAAUUUGAAUUUUUGCUCAUGAAUAAAACAAUAGAAGUGUUCAGGCAGGAAAAUAUUGCCCUUUUGUGAGUUAAACACAGAGACAUACAACUGGAUCCAAAAGUGGGUCCAUGAAACCAGAUCCUGCUUGGUUUGUGCUCUUUCAGUGGAAAUCCCAACAUUACAACAAGAAUGCCUGCAGGCACCAGCUCGGUGGCGUAUAACGCACACCUCUCGCAAACACUCUCGUCUGUAAUAAAUUCCUGCCCGCACCUGUAAUGAGCUCAUGGCCUCGGCAGUGAUGGAGAACACUCAUUGUGUGUUUUGCUGAAUGAUGGAGACCGGACGAUGGGGUCUUCAGUCGGACUUUGUUCCAGAUAAUCAUGAAUUGAUGGAUAAACGUGCUGAGGAAAAGUGCAAGGGUGGAAACCUGAGGAAUUUAUUAGGGAUGCACCAAUAUUGCCUGUUUUUUUUUUUUUUCAGUUAUCAGUUACUGGAAGUAGAUCAUAUGUGAAAGACAAUAUACAAUCAUUACAGACAAAGUAAAUCCCAAAGGCUGAUCAGACUGAUGAAAACCUUGUCCAUAGUAAACAUGGACAACUGUUUGAUGACACACACGUGCAAAAAAAGAAAAAUAAAGGGGGAAAAAAAAGAAAAACUCUAACUCCUCCCCAACUUCCCGCU